Macadamia integrifolia is the source of this 379-nucleotide long non-coding RNA. RefSeq lists it as uncharacterized. The transcript is spliced from 2 exons. NCBI's taxonomy places the organism in Eukaryota, Viridiplantae, Streptophyta, Magnoliopsida, Proteales, Proteaceae. The record is from RefSeq and is a predicted model, not a curated record.
AGAGAGGAGAAAAAAGGAAGAAGAAGAGGAGAAGAAAGGAAGAGAUUCAAGGAGGGCCAUACCUGUAGGGAGCUGAUUGAGAUUGCAAUCAAAGAGCCUUCUAGCCGCCAUUGAGAAGACAAGCUAAUCGCAACAAGAUGAUGGGGUAUGUGAGUGUGUGGAUUGCACUGGAAGCCAAGAGUGACAAGAUGCUGAAGAAGAUGCAUGAUAGUUCUUUUAUUUUUAUUCAAAAGAUAGAGACAUUUAAUUUCAUUACUAUGAGAUAUUAAAUAAUGGUGUAUGAGACAUUUUGAGUUGAUUUUAUUUACUUUCCUUUAUACUAUAUUUUAAAACAUAUAAUAAAUGUUUGACGCCACCACCAGGCAUUGAGGUAUUUAAA